UACGAAGGGGGCUAGCGUUGCUCGGAAUUACUGGGCGUAAAGGGCGCGUAGGCGGAUAGUUUAGUCAGAGGUGAAAGCCCAGGGCUCAACCUUGGAAUUGCCUUUGAUACUGGCUAUCUUGAGUACGGAAGAGGUAUGUGGAACUCCGAGUGUAGAGGUGAAAUUCGUAGAUAUUCGGAAGAACACCAGUGGCGAAGGCGACAUACUGGUCCGUUACUGACGCUGAGGCUCGAAAGCGUGGGGAGCAAACAGG
This 253-nucleotide ribosomal RNA is filed under the name uncultured bacterium. RNAcentral's name for it is "partial 16S ribosomal RNA". It matches the Rfam family "Bacterial small subunit ribosomal RNA", at positions 524 to 776 of the family's 1533-position model. The record is from RNAcentral.